Acanthosepion pharaonis is the source of this 98-nucleotide non-coding RNA. NCBI's taxonomy places the organism in Eukaryota, Metazoa, Mollusca, Cephalopoda, Sepiida, Sepiidae. The record is from the annotation of a GenBank genome assembly.
UUGAAACACCGGUUCUCGUUCGAUCACCAAAGUUAACCAACGUCGAAACUGGUCAGUAACAAGAUGGGUGACCGCUCGGGAAAUUCAGGUGUUGUAAG